RNAcentral lists this transfer RNA (72 nucleotides) under Echinops telfairi (small Madagascar hedgehog). RNAcentral describes it as "tRNA-Glu (TTC) (tRNA-Glu-TTC-4-1)". It matches the Rfam family "tRNA". From Rfam's summary of the family: Transfer RNA (tRNA) molecules are approximately 80 nucleotides in length. Their secondary structure includes four short double-helical elements and three loops (D, anti-codon, and T loops). Further hydrogen bonds mediate the characteristic L-shaped molecular structure. tRNAs have two regions of fundamental functional importance: the anti-codon, which is responsible for specific mRNA codon recognition, and the 3' end, to which the tRNAs corresponding amino acid is attached (by aminoacyl-tRNA synthetases). tRNAs cope with the degeneracy of the genetic code in two manners: having more than one tRNA (with a specific anti-codon) for a particular amino acid; and 'wobble' base-pairing, i.e. permitting non-standard base-pairing at the 3rd anti-codon position. Lineage: Eukaryota; Metazoa; Chordata; Mammalia; Afrosoricida; Tenrecidae. The record is from RNAcentral.
UCCCUGGUAGUCUAGUGGCUAGGAUUUGGUGCUUUCACUGCCAUGGCCUGGGUUCAAUUCCUGGUCAGGGAA